RNAcentral lists this ribosomal RNA (2775 nucleotides) under Enterobacter cloacae. Its description in RNAcentral is "bacterial LSU rRNA". It matches the Rfam family "Bacterial large subunit ribosomal RNA". The record is from RNAcentral. Lineage: Bacteria; Pseudomonadati; Pseudomonadota; Gammaproteobacteria; Enterobacterales; Enterobacteriaceae.
AGCGUACACGGUGGAUGCCCUGGCAGUCAGAGGCGAUGAAGGACGUGCUAAUCUGCGAAAAGCGCCGGCGAGGUGAUAUGAACCCUUGACCCGGCGAUGUCCGAAUGGGGAAACCCAGUGCAAUCCGUUGCACUAUCGUUAACUGAAUACAUAGGUUAACGAGGCGAACCGGGGGAACUGAAACAUCUAAGUACCCCGAGGAAAAGAAAUCAACCGAGAUUCCCCCAGUAGCGGCGAGCGAACGGGGAGCAGCCCGGAGUCUGAAUCAGCUUGUGUGUUAGUGGAACGGUCUGGAAAGUCCGACGGUACAGGGUGAUAGUCCCGUACACGAAAGCACACUUGCUGUGAACUCGAAGAGUAGGGCGGGACACGUGGUAUCCUGUCUGAAUAUGGGGGGACCAUCCUCCAAGGCUAAAUACUCCUGACUGACCGAUAGUGAACCAGUACCGUGAGGGAAAGGCGAAAAGAACCCCGGCGAGGGGAGUGAAAAAGAACCUGAAACCGUGUACGUACAAGCAGUGGGAGCCUCUUUAUGGGGUGACUGCGUACCUUUUGUAUAAUGGGUCAGCGACUUAUAUUCUGUAGCAAGGUUAACCGUAUAGGGGAGCCGAAGGGAAACCGAGUCUUAACUGGGCGUUAAGUUGCAGGGUAUAGACCCGAAACCCGGUGAUCUAGCCAUGGGCAGGUUGAAGGUUGGGUAACACUAACUGGAGGACCGAACCGACUAAUGUUGAAAAAUUAGCGGAUGACCUGUGGCUGGGGGUGAAAGGCCAAUCAAACCGGGAGAUAGCUGGUUCUCCCCGAAAGCUAUUUAGGUAGCGCCUCGUGAAUUCAUCUUCGGGGGUAGAGCACUGUUUCGGCUAGGGGGCCAUCCCGGCUUACCAACCCGAUGCAAACUACGAAUACCGAAGAAUGUUAUCACGGGAGACACACGGCGGGUGCUAACGUCCGUCGUGAAGAGGGAAACAACCCAGACCGCCAGCUAAGGUCCCAAAGUCAUGGUUAAGUGGGAAACGAUGUGGGAAGGCACAGACAGCCAGGAUGUUGGCUUAGAAGCAGCCAUCAUUUAAAGAAAGCGUAAUAGCUCACUGGUCGAGUCGGCCUGCGCGGAAGAUGUAACGGGGCUAAACCAUGCACCGAAGCUGCGGCAGCGACGCUUAUGCGUUGUUGGGUAGGGGAGCGUUCUGUAAGCCGUUGAAGGUGUGCUGUGAGGCAUGCUGGAGGUAUCAGAAGUGCGAAUGCUGACAUAAGUAACGAUAAAGCGGGUGAAAAGCCCGCUCGCCGGAAGACCAAGGGUUCCUGUCCAACGUUAAUCGGGGCAGGGUGAGUCGACCCCUAAGGCGAGGCCGAAAGGCGUAGUCGAUGGGAAACAGGUUAAUAUUCCUGUACUUGGUGUUACUGCGAAGGGGGGACGGAGAAGGCUAUGUCAGCCGGGCGACGGUUGUCCCGGUUUAAGCAUGUAGGCGGAGGUUCCAGGUAAAUCCGGUACCUUAUUAACGCUGAGGUGUGAUGACGAGGCACUACGGUGCUGAAGUGAUAAAUGCCCUGCUUCCAGGAAAAGCCUCUAAGCAUCAGGUAACACGAAAUCGUACCCCAAACCGACACAGGUGGUCAGGUAGAGAAUACCAAGGCGCUUGAGAGAACUCGGGUGAAGGAACUAGGCAAAAUGGUGCCGUAACUUCGGGAGAAGGCACGCUGAUGUGUAGGUGAAGUCCCUGCGGACGGAGCUGAAAUCAGUCGAAGAUACCAGCUGGCUGCAACUGUUUAUUAAAAACACAGCACUGUGCAAACACGAAAGUGGACGUAUACGGUGUGACGCCUGCCCGGUGCCGGAAGGUUAAUUGAUGGGGUUAGCGGCAACGCGAAGCUCUUGAUCGAAGCCCCGGUAAACGGCGGCCGUAACUAUAACGGUCCUAAGGUAGCGAAAUUCCUUGUCGGGUAAGUUCCGACCUGCACGAAUGGCGUAAUGAUGGCCAGGCUGUCUCCACCCGAGACUCAGUGAAAUUGAACUCGCUGUGAAGAUGCAGUGUACCCGCGGCAAGACGGAAAGACCCCGUGAACCUUUACUAUAGCUUGACACUGAACACUGGUCCUUGAUGUGUAGGAUAGGUGGGAGGCUUUGAAGCGUGGACGCCAGUCUGCGUGGAGCCAACCUUGAAAUACCACCCUUUAAUGGCUGGUGUUCUAACGUGGACCCGUAAUCCGGGUUGCGGACAGUGUCUGGUGGGUAGUUUGACUGGGGCGGUCUCCUCCCAAAGAGUAACGGAGGAGCACGAAGGUUGGCUAAUCCUGGUCGGACAUCAGGAGGUUAGUGCAAUGGCAUAAGCCAGCUUGACUGCGAGCGUGACGGCGCGAGCAGGUGCGAAAGCAGGUCAUAGUGAUCCGGUGGUUCUGAAUGGAAGGGCCAUCGCUCAACGGAUAAAAGGUACUCCGGGGAUAACAGGCUGAUACCGCCCAAGAGUUCAUAUCGACGGCGGUGUUUGGCACCUCGAUGUCGGCUCAUCACAUCCUGGGGCUGAAGUAGGUCCCAAGGGUAUGGCUGUUCGCCAUUUAAAGUGGUACGCGAGCUGGGUUUAGAACGUCGUGAGACAGUUCGGUCCCUAUCUGCCGUGGGCGCUGGAGAAUUGAGGGGGGCUGCUCCUAGUACGAGAGGACCGGAGUGGACGCAUCACUGGUGUUCGGGUUGUCAUGCCAAUGGCACUGCCCGGUAGCUAAAUGCGGAAGAGAUAAGUGCUGAAAGCAUCUAAGCACGAAACUUGCCCCGAGAUGAGUUCU